ACUCGGGGUAAAAUGUGGUUAAAUUAACUUAAGAUAAUAAAGUCGAAUGCUCUCAUAACUGUUAUACGUACUCGAAAGCCAGAAGCUCCCCUACGAAAGUGACUUUAGAAUUAUUGAACCCACGAAAGCUAAGAUACAAACUGGGAUUAGAUACCCCACUAUGCUUAGCCCUAAACUUUAAUAACUUUACUACAAAAACUAUACGCCAGGGAACUACGAGCAUUAGCUUAAAACCCAAAGGACUUGGCGGUGCUUAAUAACCCCCUAGAGGAGCCUGUUCUAGAACCGAUAACCCUCGUUCAACCUCACCCUUUCUUGUUCAUCCCGCCUAUAUACCGCCGUCGUCAGCUUACCCUGUGAAGGCCAUAAAAGUAAGCAAAACAGUAA
RNAcentral lists this ribosomal RNA (387 nucleotides) under Ophioblennius steindachneri (large-banded blenny). RNAcentral describes it as "partial 12S ribosomal RNA". It matches the Rfam family "Bacterial small subunit ribosomal RNA", at positions 612 to 1107 of the family's 1533-position model. The record is from RNAcentral. Lineage: Eukaryota; Metazoa; Chordata; Actinopteri; Blenniiformes; Blenniidae.